Molecule: unclassified non-coding RNA, 377 nt
Filed under: plant metagenome
Description: partial contains 5.8S ribosomal RNA, internal transcribed spacer 2, and large subunit ribosomal RNA
Rfam family: 5.8S ribosomal RNA (bases 1-105)
Source: RNAcentral
GAAAUGCGAUAAGUAAUGUGAAUUGCAGAAUUCAGUGAAUCAUCGAAUCUUUGAACGCAUCUUGCGCUCCUUGGUAUUCCUUGGAGCAUGCCUGUUUGAGUAUCAUGAAAUCUUCAAAGUAAAUCUUUUGUUAACUCAAUUGGUUUCUACUUUGGUAUUGGAGGUCUUUGCAGCUUCACACCUGCUCCUCUUUGUUCAUUAGCUGGAUCUCAGUGUUAUGCUUGGUUCCACUCGGCGUGAUAAGUUAUCUAUCGCUGAGGACACUGUAAAAGGUGGCCAAGGUAAAUGCAGAUGAACCGCUUCUAAUAGUCCAUUGACUUGGACAAUACUUUUAUGAUCUGAUCUCAAAUCAGGUAGGACUACCCCUGAACUUAAGC